RNAcentral lists this long non-coding RNA (721 nucleotides) under Equus caballus (horse). Its description in RNAcentral is "lncRNA (ENSECAG00000054227.1)". The record is from RNAcentral. Lineage: Eukaryota; Metazoa; Chordata; Mammalia; Perissodactyla; Equidae.
UUCAUUUUAAAACGGCAACCAUGAGAUUUUUAAUCAAAUAGGUGUAAGACGCUACCAUGUUUCUAGGGCGGAGGAGGACAGUGCUCUCUUAACAUAGUUGGCACCUAACGUGGGUGGAUCUAAGAGUGACACUGCUUCUGGAUUGGCAGCCCAUGCGUUGUGAGUUCUCUUCCUACCGUAUAUCCAGGGGAAAUUUGCAUAUAUUCUUUAGGAGACCUGCCGAAGAUCGUUCACCAACAGCAGUAAUUGUAAUGCAAACCGCCCCCCCACCACCAAAAAAACAAUUGCCCAUUGACAGGUGAUUGAAUAAAUACCAUUGGUUUCUCAGAAAAUCUGAUACCACCAAGAAGCAAAUGAAGUCAUUCAAUAUUGCCUUAUCUACUGCCAAAAGGAUUUGAGGAGCCCUACAGAUGAAAACAUCAGAGGAGACAUCUAAAAAAGCAUCCUGGUGCCUUUUGGCCCUGCUUGCCUCUUCUGUGUCUUCCUGAGGGAACACUGGUGGGGGAGAAGCAAGAGGGCCUGUCACAGACAAGCUCGCCGAGCAGGCCUGUUUCAGAGCCCACCGACUGUGGGUGGCUCUCCACCUGUAGCAGGAGAGCCCACAGGAGGAGUUGCCCCGGAAACUGCUCAGAAUGAAGUAAUUCGUUUACCGUCAUUUCUUUGGGAUGUUUUCUCUAAUGCACCAGAUUGACCUACCAUUCCUCCUCUUUCUCCCCUGCUG